Molecule: small nuclear RNA, 18 nt
Filed under: Arabidopsis thaliana (thale cress)
Lineage: Eukaryota; Viridiplantae; Streptophyta; Magnoliopsida; Brassicales; Brassicaceae
Description: snRNA_07699
Source: RNAcentral
UGCAAAUCGUUCGUCUGA